This is a non-coding RNA of Chelonoidis abingdonii (Abingdon island giant tortoise), 3470 nucleotides long. The record is from RefSeq and is a predicted model, not a curated record. Lineage: Eukaryota; Metazoa; Chordata; Testudines; Testudinidae.
ACAGAGGAAUUACUUACAUCCCAAUGAUACCACCAGCCAAUGUAUUCACAACAGCAGUGAUUUGACUCACAGGGUCGCAGACACAGGCCCUGAGUGGACAACAAUCUGUUUCUCAAGUUGCUGUAUCCCAACCAUCAACUUCCCCUAACAAGAACUCUAGUGGAUGGAGACCAAUGCUCGACCUCCCAGAAUUCAACAAGGUUAUCAGAAACACAAUGAUUCAAGAUGGUCACACUAUACACUAAAAGUGACUGCCUGCUAAAACCCAGCAGAUAGCAUUGCAAGCCACCGAAGAGGUGGUAACUCUCUUCACGACUCUGGGCUUCCUAAUAAAUACUGACCAGCCCACCCUAGCAACAGUGCAAGAGCUGGACUUCAUUGGGGCCCACCUCAACUCUGUCGAGGUUAUAGCCUCACUACCAAGACAACAUUCUUUCACCCUCACCAGCCUCAUACCCACUGCAUGAAAUAAGCCCACAGCUAUCUGCCAGGACUUGCCCCCAACUCCUUGACCACAUGGCAGCCACAGCAUUUGCUGUCAGACACACCAGAUUAAACAUCUGUUGCCUACAAGGAAGGCUGCAUAUCAACUUUGUUCCACACAGGCACAGUAUAAACCACCCCACGAUAUCGGGCAAAAUAAAGGACCCCUUUCUCUGGCAGGCAAAACUGACCAACGUAUGCACGGGGGCCUCCUUCAUUCAGAACACAAAUGCCUCACUCCUGGGAUGUGGAGCACACCUGCACCCACAUUCUACGUAGGGCCACUGGUCCCCUGUGGAAUUCCUUUGACAUAUAAACCUAUGUGGAAGAAGAAAAUGUGCCAAAUGUGCCAGCUAAAGUAGCAUACAACCAGAGAUCCACUUCCAACUCUGAGCAGACAUAGUUUGGCCCCAGACUCAUUCUGCUAUAGCGGCAAAUAGUCUAGGUGAUUUUCUGAUGGGUUUUGUCCUUUGCAGGUAAAACACCAGUGCUUGUCACAUGUUGAGGAAAUAAUGUCUCCUCUCCUCACAACACAUGGGCUUCAGAAAAAACACAGGUUGGAGCUGGGCGUGCUUCAGGCUAGUUGGCAACAAAGAAUGAUGCAGCCAGAGAUCCAUUUAGAGAGGCUAUGUGCAGGUAAUGCAUGAUCUGUUGAUCACUCUGCUACAAUGAUAAAUAGUCUAGGUGUUUUCUUAAUUGCUUUCGUUCACUGCAGACAGAACGCCAGCGCCUAUUGGAUGUCUACAGAACAAUGCCUUCUCUCAUCAGAAGCAUGAGGUUUUGGGAAAAGUACUGACCUCCAAAUGAUAUCUGAAGAUGGAGUACAAAUAUGGUUGCUGACUGGCCCUCUUGGCUUGAUUUGCCUGUUCCUAGCCCGGCAUCCACAUACAGGAAGACUGGUAGCUAUUGCAUCUCAGCUGGGCUACCACCACAGAGAAGACUUUCAUGAAGACCAUGGGUACUCUCACCAGCCUGACUUGGAAUACUCUGAACUGACUGCACUCUUGUCCUACCAUGAAUCUGUGAAACCUUUUGUGGGAGUGGUGAAUAUCCAUAUGAAAGUAAACAUUUCAUGUCAAGGGUCAUGAUCCCUGUGUUCUGCUCCAGGGAGGGAAUUACUGAUGGCAGUGUUAUCAUGAAAAUCUUGCAAAUAAUUACAUUUAGUUGAAUAGACUGAGGAUUGGUCUCCAUCCUCCAUUUUUCUUAGGAACUGUGAAAUAUGGAGAGUAGAACCCCUUUGGUUGGGGUGAUAUGUGGUCUAGGGUCCCUCUCUGAUGUAGAGUUGUCCUCCUGAUGAAGGAUCUCCUAUUGAGAGGGGGCCAGGAAGGGAGUUUGUGGAGGGGAGGUGAGAAACUCAAUUGUGUAGCCAGAGAUGAUGAUCUCUAGUACUCAUCUGUUGGUGUCAUCACCCUCUUGUUGAGUGUGUAAAGUGAUUAAGGCACCCACCAAGAUGAAGGGCAACACUGCAUGGCACCCAUAAGUACACAGUCCUUGGGUGUCCUAUCAAAAGAGAAACCCUUGGCUGGGACUGGUAGAGGUCAAAGCUGCUGCGCAACCCUUUGUCAUUUGAUGGUAGUUUGUAAAGAUGAUAGAGAGAAAAUGCUGGGCAGAGGGAAGGUCUAGGUAUGUCUGUCUGCUUGUAGCUGUUUUUCUUUGGGGCUGGUUGUAAAUGCCUAGAGAAAGGAGUGUGUGUAGUGACUUUAUUCUCAUUGAAGAGAUUAAAUUCAUCAAAGGGGAAAAUCACUCAAGAAUACUCUGGAUCUCCCUGCAGAACUCCAAACAAUGAAGCCACAUGGCUCUAGUUGGGUUGUCAGCUGUGUCCCUGGUGUCCAAAGUGAUGUCUUAGACACCAACCUGUUUUCUUCAGUGAGGGCUUUGUAUGUUGAGAGAGUAAAGCUGCUGUUCUUCCUUUGAAGUGUGGCGUCUGGGAAAGAAGGUAAACAGAUCUAUGGAUUGGUUGAGGUAGAAGCAAGAAACCAUUGUCAGUAGAAAUCUGGGAUGCCAGUUCAGUGAGACUUUGUCCUGAUGGAAUGUGGAGAAAGGGUGAUUUACUAUCAAUCAGUUUGCCAACUGUUCCUGCAGAGGUAAUAGUGAUGAGGAAAGUGAGAGGGAACAGGAGGCCAGAGGUUCAAAGGCUGAGCUCAUCAAUGCGGUAAGGACAAGGUUGAGGUCCAAGGAGCAACAGGCUGCAUAUAAGGCCCUUCCAGUAUCAGGCAGUCAAAGGGUGAGUGAAAACUGAAUGUCCCUCCAUAGGAGGUUGCAAAGCGCUGAUAGCAGCUACGUGCACUUUGCUGGAGCUGAGAAAGCUCUGAAGACUUCAGAUGGGAAAUAAUCUAAGAGCAUUGGGAUGGUAGGCCCAGGAAGUGAAACAUGUCCACUGGGGUUGGUGACAAUCCAAGCCUUGCCAAGUUACUAAAAGCCCUUACUUGUUUUUGUCACUGACUGAGAAAGGACAGGGCAGGAGGUUUUCUAGUUUUUACAACUUUCUCUAUUGGAAAUAGUUUUUACAUUAUUAAAAACAGACAACUUCUACUGGACCCAGAAUUCUCUCUCAGCGCUGUAUGGUCUGAGCUGGAAGUGAAGAGGGGUUAAUCCAUACCAGAUGUUAUGCCCUUUGGUUGGAGCAUAUGAGCAACUGUAUGUUGACCAAUGGAUAAUACUUGCUCCAAACCUCUUACCUCAGUUGCACAGAGCACAUGCAUACCCAGAAGUGCACUACACAGCUGGAUCAGCACUCAAACAAGAAUUAAGUUAUUUCCUUCUUUAGGAAAGUGACUGCAUUACCAACUUGGCCUGGAAGGAAAUCCAGAAAACUGCAAUUGUUAUUUCAAGAUUCGAAAAGGACAAGUGUGAUGAGCUGACAAACUCAGUUGGUUAAUCUAUCAUCAAACCUGGGCAAAACAAUGGAAAACUGACAUGGCAUUCAGUUGAAAGGAUAGAACUAAUUAAAGCCAGUCAACCUGGUUGAUGGAAAACAGCUCAAACAC